RNAcentral lists this ribosomal RNA (253 nucleotides) under uncultured bacterium. Its description in RNAcentral is "partial 16S ribosomal RNA". It matches the Rfam family "Bacterial small subunit ribosomal RNA", at positions 524 to 776 of the family's 1533-position model. The record is from RNAcentral.
UACGGAGGGGGCAAGCGUUAUUCGGAAUUAUUGGGCGUAAAGGGCGCGUAGGCGGCUAGAUGUGUCAAAGGUGAAAUCCCUCGGCUCAACUGAGGAACUGCCUUUAAAACUGUCUGGCUUGAGGCCGGGAGAGGGUAGCGGAAUUCCCAGUGUAGCGGUGAAAUGCGUAGAUAUUGGGAGGAACACCAGUGGCGAAGGCGGCUACCUGGACCGGUUCUGACGCUGAGGCGCGAAAGCGUGGGUAGCAAACAGG